UACGUAGGUGGCGAGCGUUGUCCGGAAUUACUGGGUGUAAAGGGCGUGUAGGCGGGAAUGUAAGUCAGAUGUGAAAUACCAUGGCUCAACUGUGGGGCUGCAUCUGAAACUACAUUUCUUGAGUGCUGGAGAGGAAAGCGGAAUUCCUAGUGUAGCGGUGAAAUGCGUAGAUAUUAGGAGGAACACCAGUGGCGAAGGCGGCUUUCUGGACAGUAACUGACGCUGAGGCGCGAAAGCGUGGGGAGCAAACAGG
This 253-nucleotide ribosomal RNA is filed under the name uncultured prokaryote. RNAcentral's name for it is "partial 16S ribosomal RNA". It matches the Rfam family "Bacterial small subunit ribosomal RNA", at positions 524 to 776 of the family's 1533-position model. The record is from RNAcentral.